CCCCUACGCUCCUCCUCCACCUCCUAAUUGGACCCAGCUGUCGGCACUCUUCAUCUACUCUCCAGCCUACUUAAGAGGAGCUCUCCCCAGCAUUCUUCGCCAGUUCGUUGCCUUAACCGGUCCUACCUUCCACGUGCCGACCUGGGUCCUGCCUCGUCUUCCACCUCCUCUUCAUCCAAGCCUAUCUUCUCCUCGUCACGCACCCGCUGUCGAACUCACCUCUUCGAGCCACCCGGCCCGCUCCAGUCUGCCGCUGGUCCUCGCUCCCCAAAGUCUCCAUCUCCACUCCUGGUUCUGGACGUACUCCUUUAUCUCCACGGACAAUAAACCUCUAUUUAUUCCA
This is a long non-coding RNA of Oryzias melastigma (Indian medaka), 343 nucleotides long. RefSeq lists it as uncharacterized. The record is from RefSeq and is a predicted model, not a curated record. The transcript is spliced from 2 exons. NCBI's taxonomy places the organism in Eukaryota, Metazoa, Chordata, Actinopteri, Beloniformes, Adrianichthyidae.